AGUCCUCCGCAGGCUUGGAUCCCUGAGCGGAGCAGGCCACUGGGGCCUUCUGCCGUGAGAAGAGACCUACUGAGAGGCGGGGAGUGGGGGUGGGAGUGGUUGCUUCUGACCUGUAGGACAGUGGUCAGCGUGGGCGGGUGGAGGCACAGGAGAAGGCCGACAGGCCCUGGGUCCUAGGGCCACUCAGCUGCUGGAAAAUGAAGUUCAGAGUUGUUUGGACUGUCUGAAGUAGGAUAGAACCAGCCUUAGCCCUAGUUAGGUAACACAUGGCAGAGGCACCUGAGCAAAGACGUGAGCUGGACCAUGGGCUUCCUGGCAGGACUUCCACGGAGGAGGGCGAGGGGAGAGGAGCAAGGGAGCAGAAGGCAGCUUGCCGUCCACGAAGCCUCCUGAGGCCCCAGAUGAGUCACCAGACAACAGCCUGUCUACUUAAAGCAACUGCUGGGCAACUGCUGAGUAGAACAGUCCCUAACCACAUGAACACUGGGGAGGAGGUUCUGAAAGACGCUGCUGGGUGCAAGGUCCCUAACUAGGGUAAUCCAAUUUCACUCCAGGCUAACAUGAGAAAUUAUGACUCCAGCAGCCAAUCCUGUGGGCCGUGAGAGAGUGGGAGAGGGAUUUUCCAGAUAUAAGUCCCACUAGAGCUUCUUUUUUUUUUUUUUUUUUGAUACGGAGUCUCACUCUGUUAUCCACGCUGGAGUGCAGUGGCACCAUCUCGGCUCACUGCAAGCUCCGCCUCCCGGGUUCAAGCGAUUCUGUUGCCCCAGCCUCCUGAGCAGAUGGGACUACAGAUGUGCACCACCAUGCCCAGCUAAUUUUUGUAUUUUUAGUAGAGACAGGGUUUCACUAUGUCGGCCAGGCUGGUCUCGAACUCCUGACCUCAUGAUUCUCCUGCCUUGGCCUCCUAAAGUGUUGGGAUCACUGGCAUAAGCCACAGCUUCCGGCUGAGUCCCACUAGAGCUUCUAAGAAGAAAUUAGGGAAGCAGGAUUAUGAGAGGCCUGGUCCCACUCACAGUGUGCGACAUCACUGAUGACUAUGCUUGGUUACCUGCCUUGUUAUUUGCUACCUUUGUUAUUGUCUAUUUCUUGGUAAUUAGUAGUACACUAUAGUGAUUAGGAGUGAUCAAGAAGAUGCCUGGCUUCAUAUUCCAACUUUGUCGUUUACUAACUGUGAACUUGGCCGAGUUUUUUUUUUUUUGCUUGUUUGUUUUGUUUUGAGACAGGAUCUCUCUCUGUCACCCAGGCUGGAGUGCAGUGGCGUGAUCUCAGCUCACUGCAACCUCCACCUCCUGGAAUCAAGGGAUCCUCCCACCUUAGCCUCCCAAGUAGCUGAGAUACACGUGUGCACCAUCACACCUGGCUAAUUUUUGUAUUUUUUGUAGAGAUGGUGUUUCACCAUGUUGCCCAGGCUGGUCUUGAAGCCCUGGGCUCAAGCCAUCACCCACCUUGGCCUCCCAAAGUGCUGGGAUUACAGGCAUGAGCCACCUCCUGACCUCAGGUGAUCCACCUGCCUCAGCCUCCCAAAGUGUUGGGAUUACAGGCAUGAGCCACUGUGGC
This 1557-nucleotide long non-coding RNA is filed under the name Homo sapiens (human). RNAcentral describes it as "non-protein coding lnc-LGALS3-4:1". Lineage: Eukaryota; Metazoa; Chordata; Mammalia; Primates; Hominidae. The record is from RNAcentral.